UUAUAAAAGAAGUCCUAAUAAUACACAAAAGAGGGCUCUCCUUCCUCGGAACGGAAGAAAACAAAGAAAAUGUCCUCUACUCCUCCAUUUGAGCCUUCUUUCUCCAUACUCUCCCAAAAUUAAAAUUGACACACACUCACAAACAAACAAAAAAAGAACCCUAUAGCUGAAAGAAGAAAAGCUGCGCAGCAGUGUUAUUAGAAAAAGGAAAAACACAGCUGCUUGAGAAAAAGAAGGAAACAGUUGCUGCUGAUUUUCUUCCUCCAAAGAAAACUCAUGACAGUUAAAUAAUUUAAGCUCAAGUCGCUGCCCUUGCUGCCGAGAAAAUAGAUCUAAAAUCCUCCAUUAAUCCCGUGAAGCUCUGUGCUCGAGGUCGUCUAAGUUCCGUGUCCGUUAGCUUCACAUAUGUUUCUCGGGUUUUGCCUUGGGUUUUGAGAUUUAUAACUGUACUGGUUGGUUUAUUUGGGAUUUCUUCUCAAUAUAUUGGAAAAAUAUUUCAUUGCUCAAGUUCUGAUUCCUUCUUUCUUUCACUAUUUAUUUUUCUAUGAUUCAAAUAUUUUAGAUCCAUGUGAAUGAUGCUUUAUUAUUUCACUUUUCAUGUGUGUUUACUUUUAAGUUCAUAAUAUUAUCCAUCGUAGUGAGUUUUAUGAUA
This 652-nucleotide long non-coding RNA is filed under the name Nicotiana benthamiana. Its description in RNAcentral is "long non-coding RNA (NBEN_LNC033019)". The record is from RNAcentral. Lineage: Eukaryota; Viridiplantae; Streptophyta; Magnoliopsida; Solanales; Solanaceae.